This 445-nucleotide ribosomal RNA is filed under the name uncultured bacterium. RNAcentral's name for it is "partial 16S ribosomal RNA". It matches the Rfam family "Bacterial small subunit ribosomal RNA", at positions 354 to 796 of the family's 1533-position model. The record is from RNAcentral.
GUAGGGAAUAUUGGGCAAUGGAUGCAAGUCUGACCCAGCCAUGCCGCGUGGAGGAAGAAGGUCCUCUGGAUUGUAAACUCCUUUUUUGGGGGAAGAAUAGUUCUCUUGCGAGGGAAUGUGACGGUACCCUAAGAAUAAGCCACGGCUAACUACGUGCCAGCAGCCGCGGUAAUACGUAGGUGGCAAGCGUUAUCCGGAUUUAUUGGGUUUAAAGGGUGCGUAGGUGGUUUGAUAAGUCAGUGGUGAAAGCUGGUUGCUCAACAAUCAAGUUGCCAUUGAUACUGUCGGACUUGAGAGAAGUGGAGGUUCAUGGAAUGGAUGGUGUAGCGGUGAAAUGCAUAGAUAUCAUCCAGAACGUCGAUUGCGAAGGCAGUGGGCUGUACUUUAUCUGACACUGAGGCACGAAAGUGUGGGGAUCAAACAGGAUUAGAUACCCGAGUAGUCC